CCCAGCAGUAGUUGCUGAUGGUGCAGAAUCAUUCCUGUGACAGUGAUACACUGUUGGGAGAGGAAUGUCUUGUCUUUUCCGAUCAGUUGCCUCCCCCACUGAUGUUAUGGUACUGGUGCAAGCAGAAUGUGCCACAAAUGUCCUUUGGCUGCUUGGUUUUAGUCUGGGAGCAGACAUA
This is a small nucleolar RNA of Ochotona princeps (American pika), 178 nucleotides long. Its record names the gene SNORA74. It matches the Rfam family "Small nucleolar RNA SNORA74". Rfam says of the family: U19 belongs to the H/ACA class of snoRNAs. snoRNAs bind a number of proteins (including dyskerin, Gar1p and Nop10p in the case of the H/ACA class) to form snoRNP complexes. This class are thought to guide the sites of modification of uridines to pseudouridines by forming direct base pairing interactions with substrate RNAs. The record is from Ensembl. NCBI's taxonomy places the organism in Eukaryota, Metazoa, Chordata, Mammalia, Lagomorpha, Ochotonidae.